UACGAAGGGUCCAAGCGUUGUUCGGAUUUAUUGGGCGUAAAGCGCGCGCAGGCGGCUUUACAAGUCAGAUGUGAAAUCUCGAGGCUCAACCUCGAAACUGCGUCUGAAACUGUAGAGCUAGAGUGUCGGAGGGGGCAGGGGAAUUUCACGUGUAGGGGUAAAAUCCGUAGAGAUGUGAAGGAACACCGGAGGCGAAGGCGCCUGCCUGGACGACAACUGACGCUGAGGCGCGAAAGCGUGGGGAGCAAACAGG
Molecule: ribosomal RNA, 253 nt
Filed under: uncultured bacterium
Lineage: Bacteria
Description: partial 16S ribosomal RNA
Rfam family: Bacterial small subunit ribosomal RNA
Source: RNAcentral